This 433-nucleotide ribosomal RNA is filed under the name uncultured bacterium. RNAcentral describes it as "partial 16S ribosomal RNA". It matches the Rfam family "Bacterial small subunit ribosomal RNA", at positions 29 to 507 of the family's 1533-position model. The record is from RNAcentral.
AGCGAACGCUGGCGGCAGGCUUAACACAUGCAAGUCGAGCGGACCUUUCGGGGUCAGCGGCGGACGGGUGAGUAACGCGUGGGAACGUGCCUUCCGGUUCGGAAUAACCCUGGGAAACUAGGGCUAAUACCGGAUACGCCCUUAUGGGGAAAGGUUUACUGCCGGAAGAUCGGCCCGCGUCUGAUUAGCUAGUUGUUGGGGUAACUGCCUACCACGGCGCCGAUCAGUAGCUGGUCUGAGAGGAUGAUCAGCCACACUGGGACUGAGACACGGCCCAGAAUCCUACGGGAGGCAGCAGUGGGGAAUAUUGGACAAUGGGCGCAAGCCUGAUCCAGCCAUGCCGCGUGAGUGAUGAAGGCCUUAGGGUUGUAAAGCUCUUUUAUCCGGGACGAUAAUGACGGUACCGGAGGAAUAAGCCCCGGCUAACUUCGUG